GCCUACGACCAUAUCACCCUGAAUGCGCCCGAUCUCGUCUGAUCUCGGAAGCUAAGCAUGGUCGAGCCUGAUUAGUACUUGGAUGGAAGACUGCCUGGGAAUACCAGGUGUUGUAGGCU
RNAcentral lists this ribosomal RNA (119 nucleotides) under Petromyzon marinus (sea lamprey). The record is from RNAcentral. Lineage: Eukaryota; Metazoa; Chordata; Hyperoartia; Petromyzontiformes; Petromyzontidae.